This 497-nucleotide ribosomal RNA is filed under the name uncultured bacterium. Its description in RNAcentral is "partial 16S ribosomal RNA". It matches the Rfam family "Bacterial small subunit ribosomal RNA", at positions 28 to 507 of the family's 1533-position model. The record is from RNAcentral.
GAUGAACGCUGGCGGCGUGCCUAAUACAUGCAAGUCGAGCGAACGGACGAGAAGCUUGCUUCUCUGAUGUUAGCGGCGGACGGGUGAGUAACACGUGGAUAACCUACCUAUAAGACUGGGAUAACUUCGGGAAACCGGAGCUAAUACCGGAUGAUAUUUUGAACCGCAUGGUUCAAAAGUGAAAGACGGUCUUGCUGUCACUUAUAGAUGGAUCCGCGCUGCAUUAGCUAGUUGGUAAGGUAACGGCUUACCAAGGCAACGAUGCAUAGCCGACCUGAGAGGGUGAUCGGCCACACUGGAACUGAGACACGGCCCAGACUCCUACGGGAGGCAGCAGUAGGGAAUCUUCCGCAAUGGGCGAAAGCCUGACGGAGCAACGCCGCGUGAGCGAUGAAGGUCUUCGGAUCGUAAAACUCUGUUAUUAGGGAAGAACAUAUGUGUAAGUAACUGUGCACAUCUUGACGGUACCUAAUCAGAAAGCCACGGCUAACUACGUG